UCUACCUACGGGGGGCAGCAGUGAGGAAUAUUGGUCAAUGGCCGAAGGGCUGAACCAGCCAAGCCGCGUGAAGGAAUAAGGCCCUACGGGUCGUAAACUUCUUUAGUCAGGGAACAAAGGGUGCCACGCGUGGCGCUGUGAGUGUACCUGAAGAAUAAGCAUCGGCUAACUCCGUGCCAGCAGCCGCGGUAAUACGGAGGAUGCGAGCGUUAUCCGGAUUUAUUGGGUUUAAAGGGUGCGUAGGCGGUCCGGAAAGUCAGCGGUAAAAGCCCGGGGCUCAACCCCGGCGAGCCGUUGAAACUGUG
This 305-nucleotide ribosomal RNA is filed under the name uncultured bacterium. RNAcentral's name for it is "bacterial SSU rRNA". It matches the Rfam family "Bacterial small subunit ribosomal RNA", at positions 334 to 637 of the family's 1533-position model. The record is from RNAcentral.